Molecule: ribosomal RNA, 559 nt
Filed under: uncultured bacterium
Lineage: Bacteria
Description: partial 16S ribosomal RNA
Rfam family: Bacterial small subunit ribosomal RNA
Source: RNAcentral
UGGGGAAUUUUGGACAAUGGGCGAAAGCCUGAUCCAGCAAUGCCGCGUGUGUGAAGAAGGCCUUCGGGUUGUAAAGCACUUUUGUCCGGAAAGAAAUGGCUCUGGUUAAUACCUGGGGUCGAUGACGGUACCGGAAGAAUAAGGACCGGCUAACUACGUGCCAGCAGCCGCGGUAAUACGUAGGGUCCAAGUGUUAAUCGGAAUUACUGGGCGUAAAGCGUGCGCAGGCGGUUGUGCAAGACCGAUGUGAAAUCCCCGAGCUUAACUUGGGAAUUGCAUUGGUGACUGCACGGCUAGAGUGUGUCAGAGGGGGGUAGAAUUCCACGUGUAGCAGUGAAAUGCGUAGAGAUGUGGAGGAAUACCGAUGGCGAAGGCAGCCCCCUGGGAUAACACUGACGCUCAUGCACGAAAGCGUGGGGAGCAAACAGGAUUAGAUACCCUGGUAGUCCACGCCCUAAACGAUGUCAACUAGUUGUUGGGGAUUCAUUUCCUUAGUAACGUAGCUAACGCGUGAAGUUGACCGCCUGGGAGUACGGUCGCAAGAUUAAAAGCUCAAAGG